CAGUCGAACGGUCUCUUCGGAGGCAGUGGCAGACGGGUGAGUAACGCGUGGGAAUCUACCUGGCUCUACGGAACAACUCAGGGAAACUUGAGCUAAUACCGUAUACGCCCUUCGGGGGAAAGAUUUAUCGGAGUUGGAUGAGCCCGCGUCUGAUUAGCUAGUUGGUGGGGUAAUGGCCUACCAAGGCGACGAUCAGUAGCUGGUCUGAGAGGAUGAUCAGCCACACUGGGACUGAGACACGGCCCAGACUCCUACGGGAGGCAGCAGUGGGGAAUAUUGGACAAUGGGCGCAAGCCUGAUCCAGCCAUGCCGCGUGAGUGAUGAAGGCCCUAGGGUUGUAAAGCUCUUUCACCGGUGAAGAUAAUGACGGUAGCCGGAGAAGAAGCCCCGGCUAACUUCGUGCCAGCAGC
Molecule: ribosomal RNA, 410 nt
Filed under: bacterium 2311-S4-05-1
Lineage: Bacteria
Description: bacterial SSU rRNA
Rfam family: Bacterial small subunit ribosomal RNA
Source: RNAcentral